This is a long non-coding RNA of Drosophila elegans, 526 nucleotides long. RefSeq lists it as uncharacterized. The transcript has 3 exons. NCBI's taxonomy places the organism in Eukaryota, Metazoa, Arthropoda, Insecta, Diptera, Drosophilidae. The record is from RefSeq and is a predicted model, not a curated record.
AACUAACUUCCGACUGGGAACGCAUUCCAAUAAAAAAAGCUUCUUUCAUGCAUGCUUUGCAAGCGAAAAAGAAUGUAAGAAGCUAUAAAGAAGCAUUGUUUAUGCAUUCUAAAGUUUCUUUUGCUUUACUCGCCACUUGCAUUUUGAUUUUCAAUUGAAAUAGCUUAUGCCUCUGUGAUUUGUGAAAUUAAUAUAUUCUUUGCGGUUCUAAUUUUCAAAAAAACUAUUUCAAGACAAAAGCGUGAACUAACAUCUACAUACAAGUUGUGUUUUUUAGGGUGGACCUAAUAAAUAAACAUAAAUUUAAAUAAUUAGACAUUACAUAAAUAAAAAAUUUAAUAAUUUAAUUGAAAAAAAAAUAUUUUACAAAAUAAACAAAACUAAUAUCAUUUAAAAUGAGGAGAAUGUCGCGGUCAUAUAUUCACCGUUUAACGAAAAAACAAAAGGAAGAGCUUCAUCAAUCGGCUGCUAGAGCUCUUACUUUUGAUACAGAAAAUAAUUCUGGAAAUGAAUGCCCAAAUUUAUG